GACGAACGCUGGCGGCGUGCUUAACACAUGCAAGUCGUACGGUAAGGCCCUUUCGGGGGUACACGAGUGGCGAACGGGUGAGUAACACGUGAGUAACCUGCCCACAACUUUGGGAUAACGCUAGGAAACUGGUGCUAAUACUGGAUAUGUGCUCCUGCUGCAUGGUGGGGGUUGGAAAGCUCCGGCGGUUGUGGAUGGACUCGCGGCCUAUCAGCUUGUUGGUGGGGUAGUGGCCUACCAAGGCGGCGACGGGUAGCCGGCCUGAGAGGGUGACCGGCCACAUUGGGACUGAGAUACCGCCCAGACUCCUACGGGAGGCAGCAGUGGGGAAUAUUGCACAAUGGGCGCAAGCCUGAUGCAGCAACGCCGCGUGCGGGAUGACGGCCUUCGGGUUGUAAACCGCUUUCAGCAGGGACGAAGCUUUUUGUGACGGUACCUGCAGAAGAAGCACCGGCUAACUACGUG
This 465-nucleotide ribosomal RNA is filed under the name uncultured bacterium. Its description in RNAcentral is "partial 16S ribosomal RNA". It matches the Rfam family "Bacterial small subunit ribosomal RNA", at positions 28 to 507 of the family's 1533-position model. The record is from RNAcentral.